AAAAAACAGGUAAAUGUGUAGGUAAUAACGAACGUGCGAAAUGUGAAUUUAAUUGCAAAACAUACACACGCGUUUCGUUAGAUAAUUAACGAGUUAGACGAUUCUGACGCAAUAUCAACCGUUUUUGUUACACAUUGAUAUUUUUCCUUUUUAAUUAACUGUGCCUAAUUAACAAAGAAGCGAAAUAUAUUAGAUCAGAUUUAAUAGGAGUAAAGAAAGAAAAAUAUUAUUUUUAUAUCAUAUAUACUACCGUGAGUUAUAAGCGUAACACUGACAUGGUAUACUCAUUCUUCGCCUUUUUACAUGUUUUAGAAGAAACGCCAUUCUCCUUUUCCUUUUUUUUUACAUAUUUUAUACACCGUUUUUUCCUUUACUCGGUCGUUGCAAUUUUUUAUUUCCUAUACAGGGUUCGCAAAUUCUCCCUUAUUUUUUACAUAUCCAAAACGACACUUUUUCCGGAUAUUAAAUGUCCUUUUAAAAAAUCGUCAAAAUUCGGCUGCAGGGAAUAAUGCAACGAAUUCUUUUCACUCGUUCCAAAAAAAAUUCUAAACGAUUAUCACUUUGGACAACUUCCCAUUUGUCACCCAGUAUACGUAUACUGGUAUGCACGGUACGUCGACUAGGAAUGUCGUAGGUGGGUCUCAAGAAUCGAAAGGGG
RNAcentral lists this unclassified non-coding RNA (658 nucleotides) under Athalia rosae (coleseed sawfly). RNAcentral describes it as "misc RNA ENSAEAG00005005932.1". Lineage: Eukaryota; Metazoa; Arthropoda; Insecta; Hymenoptera; Athaliidae. The record is from RNAcentral.